This 10019-nucleotide long non-coding RNA is filed under the name Eucalyptus grandis. RNAcentral describes it as "long non-coding RNA (EGRA_LNC003517)". The record is from RNAcentral. Lineage: Eukaryota; Viridiplantae; Streptophyta; Magnoliopsida; Myrtales; Myrtaceae.
GUCAAUCUCUUCUUGAGUGUUCAUCACGAACGGCCCGAGCUGUGCCACGGGCUCGCCCAACGGCUCGCCUCCGACCAAGAUGAACCUCAAGGGCUUGGCGGAUUUGUUCCACACCUCGACCCCGUCUCCGUGGCCGAGGAGGAGGAGGUGGUGGGCGGUCACGGGCGAGGAUUUCGAGAUCCCGAAGACCCCCUCGCCCUCGAGGAUGUAGAUGAAGGCGUUCCACGAGGCGGGUAUCGGCUGCUGCAGGUGAGCCCCUGGCUUGAGGGUGAAGUCCAAGUACAUGGUGGGUGUUCUUGUGUAGACAGGGGAUUUGGCUCCUAAAGCCUCUCCUGCUAUGACUUUCACUUUGAUCCCAUCUACUGCAGCUUCUGCAAUGUCUUUGCCUGAUAUUUCUUGGUACUUCGGUUCAGUCCUGCCAUAGAAAAACCAGAGGCGGGAAUCAUUCUACUGUUAAUGAUAACUACUCGUGUUAACCACAUCAGCAAUAAAGGCGACGCUUGAUGAUUGAAAAGCUUAGCUAAUCUAGACAAGAUUUUUCCUACUUGGCAGACCACCAUUAACACUACAGGAGGAGAAAAUUGCUGCUGCAGACCUAGACUGAACUCACAUUUUGUGUUUGGAGGAGAGGUUGACCCAGAGCUGUAACCCUUUUUGAGUUCCUUGACUUGCAGGCAUCUCGGAAUGGACAAUCCCCCUCCCCGCGGUCAUCCAUUGUAGAUCACCGGGUCCUAUCGUCCCUUUGUGUCCUUCGAAAUCUUCAUGUGUCACGGAUCCCUAUACAUCAACAUUAUUAUUAUCAAUACUUUUUACUUUUAAAGUGUAACAAUCAAAUAAAUAUUUAAAAUUAGUUUUCGUGAGUUAACAUAAAUUAUCAUUAUUUGAAAAGAGAAAUUUCUUUUAUGAUUGGACCCAUAUGGGUGACCACUAGUAGGAGAAAUGAUGCAUCUCAUCGUUGUCAUCAAUUACAACGGGAUCCGAAUUCCCACACUAAUGGCCCAUGUAGGUACUCUAAAUGAUGAGUGGUGGAGAUUAGGCAAUUCCCCAACAUGAAACACAAAUUACAAACACAUGCUGGGCAAAGGACAAAACAAAUAGAUGCAAACUAGUCUUUUGGUCGUUUUAACACUUCCCGCGGCUCCCUCUGGGCUUUUAAGUGCAUAUGGUCGGUCAAACCUUGGACAAGAAAAAAGCUGUUGCCUUGCGUCUGUGAGGCGUGGCCUUUUGCAUGCUCACCUAAAGUGGUUGCUUGCCGGCCACGCCCGCAAGCCAUGAAUACUGGAAAUUUCCAUCUAUCGGUUUCACCGGUUUUGAUGAAGUCAUUCUUAUUGGCUGAUUCUCCUCCAUGAGAUAAGCAGGAACUCAAUAUGAAAACAACCUCAUUGAAGACUUUUCUAGUUUUGCUCACUUCCUUCUAACAAACGUGAUUAAACUCUCACUUUUAUUGGUUUUUAAAUGGACUUUUCAUGCUUUUUACCAACUCAGGAAUAGAUUUAUUGGACUUAUAGGAGAGUCGAGAGUCGUCGAAAUUGAACAAAACUUUCGUACCUGUAACAUGUAGGUGACGGUCUCGAAUCCUGUUCACAGAAAGCAAAAGAAUCAAAACAGAGUCCAUGAAAUAUGUCUACACUUAUAAUCCGCUCAUAUUGCUCCGUUUUCUUUUCAAGCAUUCACCAAAUCGCAAAUCCAUGAUUCAAGAAGCCCAAGAAACACGAACCUCUGUGCGGAUGGUCUGGAAAUCCAGCAGGAGCAGUCACUGCAGACCAGAAAACCGGAAGAAAUUAGAAAAGUAAAGAAUUUGGAAUUCUUAUCCAGCAUUGAUCACAAUUUUUGAUUGAGUAUAAGCAGAAGAACAAAAGAACAGAGAGAGAAUAUAGACACCCCACCUGAAAAUUCAUCCAAGACAAGGAAAGGGUCGAAAUAUCUCAGCUCAAACCUGGAAACGCAAGACACCCUUUUAGCCAAACCGUUCGGAUUCGCGUCACGAAGACGAAAGAAAAUGAAGAUCGAGAAGGAUCGAUUCCCAUCUCUCCUUACCGGCCAAUGCUUCUCCUGACGAUGGCCCCGACGCCCUCGUGUUGAGGCCUGGCCAGGAACUUCCUGGCCACCAACCGCGGCUCGCUGAUCUCGCAAGAGACUUCUCUCUCCGUCAUCUUCUUCUCCUCUUGAUUCGGCUCGACCCUUCGGUGCAAGUGCUCUGUAUUGGCGCUUGUGCUGGUGCUGGUGAUCGAAUUUUUGCUUUUGGUGAAGAAAAAGCUGGAGGCACUGGAGGGUAUUUAUAGGGAGGAUUUGAAAAGAAAGGAGAAGGUUGGGACUGGUACAGUGACAGGUGUUCUUCUUCCUCAAACGGGGAAGGUCAAAGGGAAGCGUUCGGCUCGGCUGGCCGAGCGGGCCCCCACCGUGCUCGAGUUCGAUCUCUCUCUCGCGGUGUAUUAAUUUUUUGUGGAUUUUAAUGCCAUGCAAGGAGUGGCGUCAGCAUAUCGUGGACGUGAUGUCGGGGGGCUAGGGCUCUCGAUCUGGACCGUCGGUUCGAGUUUCUACGUCGGGAUUCGAUCCGUGACGAGCGGAUGUCGUCGAUGAUGUGCUGGUCGCGUACAGAGUGGCCGGUGGGGCCCGCCGAUUUCCAUAUUGUAAAGUGUUCUCCUCUCUUGUGGUAUUCGCGGGAUGUUCCAUUUUUCCGGAUCGUUAGCGGCGGGGCGUGACAUUAAAUUUUUCAUUUUUGCGAAAAAAAUAAAAUUUUGGGGACCAAAAUAUCCGGCGGUCUUUUUCUCCCAUUUAUACCACCCACCAAAUGCUUUAUUUGCAGCUUUGAAAAUAAAUGUUGCGGCUUAUAUAAUGUGUUUGAAAAACACCUCGCUGCUUCAAAGUUCAACAAUACAACAAUUUAUAGCGGUGUUUAGAAAAUUAUCUCACCUAGUUUUGAAUUGCUAGAAAUUUUAAAUAUAUGUUGUCAAGAAUUAGAUUUCAUAGCAUAGUUACAGUUGAGUUAAUAGCUUCUUAGGGCACGCAUAACAAAUUUUCUAAAAUAAAAUUCAAUUUAUGGUCAAACAUUGAUUUUUUUGAUUUCUAUUCCCAAAAUAAGUUUCUAAGUACGUGUUUAAUAACAAUUCAAAAUUUAUGUUUUUACAAUAGAAAUUCGUUUAAUAACAAAAUAAAAUUUUAAUUUCUAAGAGGGCAGCGACCAGUGACUAGCGAUCGGCGUAUGGCAUCCAUCUGGUGGUGGGCGGUUGGCAACCGGCGUCCGACAAUGGGCGGCCGGCGACCGACGAUGGGUGGCCCACAUCCUAUGAGCGAUGGGUGAGCAACAGGCGACAAUGAGAGUAAACAAUAAAAAAAGUCUUCAUUUCUCAUUUUUAUUCCAAAAAUAGAAAAACUACCAAACGGAUUUUUGUUUCUAACGUAUUUUGGGGACUAGAAAAAUAAAGAAAUAGAAAAAUGGAAAUUUUGUCAAACUUGCCCUUAGUCAAACUAAAACUUGAAGUUGACCAAUUGGAAUAGCUCACCGGUUUUGUUAGGUUAUUAAUUGGUGUAGUGACAUUGUUCAUAGUUUAGCAUUUUUCUAACCAUAACUUUGACCCGUCGCUUUUUAGAUAUCGAGUAAAAGAAAGUACCAAAAAGUUUUGGACCUAUUUUAUUAGUGCUAAUUUAGUCAUAAACAUUUUAAUUUGGAUGAUUUAAUCAUAAAAAUUUUCAUGCCAAUUGAGUCUAUCUAGUUAAUUUGAGUUAUCAAUUAAUGACGUCCACCUUUCAUGUUGACAUUUUUAUAAUAUUUUAAUUUUUAUAUAUUUUUAUAUAUUCUUUAUUUUUUUUCCUUUCGUUUUGGCUGGGAUGGUUGGCAAAGGUCACAACUCUAGCCCAAGUCCUAGGCAAGAGCAACAACCCUUAGCAACCAAAAUGAAAGGAAAAAUAAAUAAAAAUUAAUUAAAAUUCAUUUUUUAUUGUAAAAAUUGUUUACAUUAGUAUCAAUUGUGUCACGUAAGAAGACUAACAUUCACGUCAGUGGUUAUGGUCAAUAUUGGCUGAAAAUAACUCAAUUAGCUUAAUACAAUCGAAAUAUUUAUGACUGAAUUAAUAUAAAUGCAAUGGGUUUUAGAUUUUUUUUUCCCUUACUUUCAUCAUUUUGAGCAUAACGUGGACAAUUUUUUUUUUUUAAAGAGUAUAACAGAAAUUAAUAUAACUUUCGGGAAAACUUUGAAAAUUUACAUAUAUCCUGCAUUUCAACAUUUUAAUAGUUUGAAAAAGUUUCAGGUUUUCCGUGUACACUAAAGCCGAAGCAUGCGCCCCGCAAAUUUUGUGGAGGAAAACAGAACACGAGUCAGUUCAUAAACGCCUUAUUUGCUACUUUCCGAAAUCCACUCAAAAGUUUAGACUUCUUUUUAGUGCAAAAUAUCUGCAACUCAGUUCGAUAUACAAAUAAUAAUAUGCAUAAUCAUAUACAAAUUUGCUGUAAUCCUUUGAAAUUUAAAAUAUCAUCUUUCGAUUUGCAAAUUUUAGAGGGACAGUCUUGAGUAGAAAAAAAUUAGUGAUUCUUUACGUACUCGAGAUCGACGUAGUAUUUCAUCACGCAAUUCUAGAACUAGAUUAGAUCCUGGGCUCCAAUUCCAGAACUACAUCAAAUUUUUGACAAAUAAGUUGAGUUGAGUAAAGUUGAACUUAUUAAACAGAUUUUUUUUUUAAAAAGGUAAGUGAAAAUUUUACUGAUAUGUAUAAAUAAAUAAAUAAAAUCAUACAAAUUUGGCUCCUCAAGAUAUGUCUACGGAUGGGCAUGGGAUAUGAGACCUCGACCCAACUGAGGUGGUUUUUCUUUACGAGAGACAAUUAGCUAGGAAAAUUGUGGGAAAUGAGAUGCGGAUUUUGGCAAAGCGGAGCUGUAAUAGGCUUGCCCCACUCUGUCUAUACGUUUUACGAUUUUCCGAUCUAUAAACAUGAAACUUUUUCUUUAUAAAAAGACAUGCUUAAUUGGACAUUUUUAAGGUUCCAUUUGUUUCUCAAAAAAUAAAUAAUUUGUAAAAUAUUUUUCUAAUUAUAUCCCUUCAAAUAAUUAAUUGAUAAGAAAUCUUUUCAUUAUCAAUAGCAAUUAAUGUCUAAAUAUUUCAUAAAUAAUAAAAAUGUUAUUUAUUUAUUCAAUUUCAUAAACAAUAUAAAUGAUUAUAUGAGGAAAAAUAUUUUUUUAAUUAUUCGUUAAUUGGAGCCUAAGCACUUUUUUUUUUUAAUUGGUUGGUUCUUAGGAAUUCAAUUCCUCCGUUCAUCCUGCCUAUAUCUGGUCCUUGUCCAAAAAAAAAAUCCUGCCCAUAUCUGGUCAACCGAUCAAGAACGUCACGUCGCCGUUAUGCGUGCGGUCAUCCUCACGACUCCUAAGCCUCGUAUAUCCUCGUUGACCUUGUAGUCCCCAUUUUAACGCUGCUUUGUUCGAGCAAGUAAUUUGAUUCAAAGUCGAACACGUUAAACAGCAGUGACAUCCAAGCAUCGUCCGCCGCAUGUCAUCCUCCUCCUCCUCCUCCUUCACCGACUCGACAACAUGAAUUACGACCGAAGCGACCUAAUUUCGUGUCGAUAGCCAUUUGGAAUCUAGCUGCCUUAACUAAGGAUCAUGUCAUAUAAUCCAAAAUCCAACACAUCACAUUUGAUGAUGUUUUCAACACCUUACAAGAUGUCAAAUCGGAUGGAGUAAUAAAAUCAAGUCAAAUUGACUAAAGCUAAAUUGGAUUUAUUGUGCACACCUUAUCCAUAGAAUAUAUAUAUACACACAUAUAUAUGGCCAAUAUAAAACUUGAUGACCUUAGAUGAGGAAUUGUAUGAUUUAUUUACCCAAAUGCAAUGUUUUAAAGAUCAUAACAAAGAUUAUAUUAGAUGGUCGAGCAAUGAAAUUUGAUUGAGUCAACUAAAUAGAAUGGAGUUGCAAAAAUUAAAUAAAUAAAUAAAGCCCAAAAAAUGAAGCUCGACUUUAGAUUGAUCAAAUGGGUGAGUUGGGAUUGGGUUGAGUUGAAAAUUAUUCGACCCAAAUUGAUCAAUUUAACUCAUUGGGUAAUACAAAUCUAGCAUCAAUUGCUAAAAGGCCUUCAUAUUUAUCCAAAAUUAGGAAACUCAUACCCAAAUUGAAUAAUAGCAUGGAACGAGUGAGCCGUAAAAUUAAAUGAUGACAAGAGAGUUAUAGAUGUAAAUUUGAUUCAUUUGAUACUUAUAUUAUUUUGAGUUUUACAUUUUUGAUUUACUCGUAACUUAUUUACAACUUAAUAUGAUUAAUUUAUGUAAUAAUUCAUUUAAUCAGAUAUGAAUUAAGAAAUAAAUUUAAUAAUCCAUUUUGGCACGUACCUGUUGGCAACGUAAUUUUCCGGGUACGACUUUCCAAAUAAUGCACGCAUGCGUCAGACUCACGUGAUUCGGAUGGACUGCAUAUGGUAAGAGGAGAACUCUCAAUUGGGUCCCACGAACUCCGAACCCCUAGUGGGCCCCUAUAGACAGCGUUAACUAGAGGCAACAUGGGAGUCCAGUGACGUCACUGCUGGAGAAGCAUGACGAACGAGAGACUCGUUCCGAAAUCAAAGUGCUAUGUAGAGAUAAAGUUGAAUUGACAGGUCAGUACUAUGAAUAGGCAUCAGAUCUAUCCAGCGAAGGGUAAGUACAGAGUCUUCAUGAUUAAUUAUUCUAAUGAGAUACAUAUCCACACUAGAGUAGAAUUCUUACGGGUGCCCAGACAAAGGAGAAGAAAAGGCAUAGAUGCACUAGAAGAGGAUGAAAUGAGAGAACAGAUCAGGUGGAGGGGAAAAGGAAAUAUAAUGUUUACAGGGAAAGGUUUGCUAUUGGAAAUCUUAGUUGGGGAUAAAUUAGGAGGAGGAGAAAUAUUCAUGGUGCAAGAUUGAAUGAAGAGGAGAACAAUGCACGACGAUUGGGGAACCUGAACGAAAACAAAAUGAUAUUUGCUUGUCAAGUCGUGAUGCUUAUUGUUCUGUGCAAUAGAGAUGCAUGCAAGCUUGCCAUUAAGAGCCUAAGCAUGCUUAAUUGAGCCCUAGAGAACAUUUACAACAUAAACUUGCUUUGAAAUGGUAAAGCGAGGAUCCAUAUAGCUAGGCCCUUUACCAUCACCACCAAUGUGUUGCUGUGAUCAUAAACAAAUGUUUUGGCAAAUUGGUAAAAAAGAAAACAUCUGGGAAAAAGAUAAGAGGACCUCAUCAUUUAGCAAAAAUUAUAUGAUCUAGAUAAUACGCUAGCACAUGUAGGUGAAAUAAAUUCCAUUGUUAUAUUAUAAUGUGUUGAAUAUUCUCAAGGAGUCACAGCAAUUUUCAGAAAUAACACUUGAAAUUAGCCUGUCAAAAAACCUUUUCUAGUCAAUUAUUGCUGAGGAAAUCUCAAGGCUUCCAAAUCCUCACGGCAGACUCCUAUAGGUUUGUUAUGGCGUGGGACCAAAUCAAGAUAGUUCCCGCUUCUGCUCUUUUACGUGCUACACAAGUUCUCGUCAAAAGCUUAAGUGUUAGGAACAAUACCCACAGUUUCGUAAGUAUAGUUCUCAACACCUUCAAUAUCAGCUACACUUUAUCCAGUAGGCGGAUAUAGCCACAUUGAUGAGGAUAAGCACAAUCACUGAAAAUAGGAGCACAAUUACCUAACUAAGAGGGAUACGAAAUGAAAUCAUGAGAGUAGCACUAGACCUUGAAAAACACCCAUUUUACCAAAAGUCCAAACUAUCAAAGAAUUUGCACAAAAUGCAUAUCAAGCAUACUCCUCAAAAGGGGAUACAAGAGUCAAAUUUACCAUGAAACAGUAAUGAUGGUGAGAAAGACUGAGUUUCUUUGAUAACUAAGUAUUCUCUCUGAAUUCAAAAGGCUAUUACAGAUAUUUGAUCAAAGAUAGUUUUGGUGACUUCGUUCAAUCUAUAUCCUAUAUCAAAAACCAAUUGUUGAAAGAAACAUGAGUCUAAAAUCCUUUACUCUCAUCCUGCUACAAUUCCUAAACAAAGUUAACAAAGGUCCUUUCCACUUGUACUGAAACUGAUAUUCUGUGUUUCAGGCUAAUUCUUACAGCCAAACCCGAAUUAGUCAUGCCAAGAAUGAUGCCAACAUGUAGAUCCAAUUUCCACUUCAACUAAAAACUGUGGUACCACCUAAAAACUUGUAGUAUGCACCCAUUAAGCCAUAAACGGGAAGAGAACAAAUGAUUUUCAUACCCCCCUCAAGACUAUCCUACGCAUGCAGAAAUCAUAAGCACUAAAGAAUGAAUUCGAAGACCAAACCAUCCUUCUCAUACCAUGCAAUGGCCGUCUACAAAGAUGACAUGAGGUCGGAACGGUAAUUCAGCGACCCUAGAGGAAACAUAUGCAUUGUACCAAUCAGUAACCGUGUAGAAUAAGUUUGCGUAUUCAUAGCGGGUGAUAAGAAGUGUUGGCUCCUCAAUCCACUGCAAUCAAGAGAGAUAAUGUUAGAGAGAUAUAAAAUGAAAUGACGAGCAGAGAAAACAGAGAGAAGAAAGUAGAAACAGUCCAGAUAAAAAGAAAAAUAAACAGCUAACGGGAAAAAACCACCUGUCCAACCAGAUUAGUCUAGACUAUAGAUCCUAAAAACUUUUGUUCUCGUCUUUCCCAGAAUCUAGGGAAUGCAUAAUCAGCCGUGAGCAAUUUCAGUUUGGCCAGAAUUUCCAGCUUUGCAAUAACCGUUGGUUCUGCGAGGCCAUUAUCGAUUACGAAAGGAAAGAGCUACAACAAAAAACCACCUGUCCAACUGAAUUUACCCAGAAUCUAGAUCUCUCCAUUCUAUGCGGUUGCCAUCAUUCCCAGAAUCUAGGAGAUAAACUAAUCACUUGUUAGCUACUCAGCUUUUCAUUAUCACUGGUCCCCUAACUGUAAUAGCAUUCAAUUAACUACAUAUCUGAAAAUGCAUAGCAAUCAUAUUGCGCUCCCCCGACAAAUGACAUAAUUUUGGAAGAAGGAGGGCGACCACCACUUUCAGCAGAUUGUAGCUUCUUGCAUUCAUGCUUCUCCUUCUCCCUCUCUCUAUUUCGAGCUUACGUGAAUUCGAUGGAAAUGGCGGCGACGGAAAUGGCGACGGAGCGUCGAAAGGGAGAAGCGAGUUCUGUUGGGUUGACCAGAAAGCUUGGUCGUGUCGUGUCUUUGGUUAGAGCGAUUCCUUCAUUGCGUGUUCCUCGCGGGUGUUCUUUUUCUCUUUCUCGAUUUAAGGAAUUUUCGUUUUCUGUCUUCGAAGUUUCGUUUUAUUUUCCUGCUAAGGAUUAAAAAAUGUGCUUUCGAAUCAGGAGGAAAUUGCUCCAAAAAAAAAAAACGAAAUGUGAUUAGUAUCUUUGAUCAUAAGCCUCUUUUUUUUUUUGUGAAUUAAUGCAAUUGUAAGUCGUUCCGUGCAUAACUAUUGCUAUCUUGUAUGGACAUCAUUUCUAGAUUUUACUUACGAAAAUUAAAGGAAUCUCAUUAAAUUGAUAAUAAAGAGUCUUCAUAUAGGCAAAGAUCAAUGAAGCAUCUCUAUUCCAAAAUUAAAAUAUAAUAAAUCAUUGCUAUGGAUACAAAUUUUCUAAAAAUCAUAAAUGAAUCACCACAAAUUUCAAAUCAAUGUACAAUUCUAAGAAGGAACUUGAUGUUUUUUUUAUUUCUCUAUGCCUCCAAAGAAAAGGCUCCAGUUGAUUCUUGAUUUUUAUUUCAAUGGUAAGUUAGCUAAAAGUCCGAUCUCCUCCAAUGCCUUGCCUUCUCGAACCCAUUGAUACAGUUCUCGAAAUCAUAUAUCGUCCUGUCAAUCUCUUCUUGAGUGUUCAUCACGAACGGCCCCAGCUGCGCCACGGGCUCGCCCAACGGCUCACCUCCGACCAAGAUGAACCUCAAGGGCUUGGCGGAUUUGUUCCACACCUCGACCCCGUCUCCGUGGCCGAGGAGGAGGAGGUGGUGGGCGGUCACGGGCGAGGAUUUCGAGAUCCCGAAGACGCCCUCGCCCUCAAGGACGUAGACGAAGGCGUUCCACGAGGUGGGUAUUGGCUGCUGCAGGUGAGCCCCUGGUUUGAGGGUGAAGUCCAAGUACAUGGUGGGUGUU